Molecule: ribosomal RNA, 497 nt
Filed under: uncultured bacterium
Lineage: Bacteria
Description: partial 16S ribosomal RNA
Rfam family: Bacterial small subunit ribosomal RNA
Source: RNAcentral
GACGAACGCUGGCGGCGUGCCUAAUACAUGCAAGUUGAGCGCUGAAGGUUGGUACUUGUACCAACUGGAUGAGCAGCGAACGGGUGAGUAACGCGUGGGGAAUCUGCCUUUGAGCGGGGGACAACAUUUGGAAACGAAUGCUAAUACCGCAUAAAAACUUUAAACACAAGUUUUAAGUUUGAAAGAUGCAAUUGCAUCACUCAAAGAUGAUCCCGCGUUGUAUUAGCUAGUUGGUGAGGUAAAGGCUCACCAAGGCGAUGAUACAUAGCCGACCUGAGAGGGUGAUCGGCCACAUUGGGACUUGGACACGGCCCAAACUCCUACGGGAGGCAGCAGUAGGGAAUCUUCGGAAAUGGACGAAAGUCUGACCGAGCAACGCCGCGUGAGUGAAGAAGGUUUUCGGAUCGUAAAACUCUGUUGGUAGAGAAGAACGUUGGUGAGAGUGGAAAGCUCAUCAAGUGACGGUAACUACCCAGAAAGGGACGGCUAACUACGUG